Molecule: ribosomal RNA, 657 nt
Filed under: Triticum aestivum (bread wheat)
Lineage: Eukaryota; Viridiplantae; Streptophyta; Magnoliopsida; Poales; Poaceae
Description: partial small subunit ribosomal RNA
Source: RNAcentral
AUGGCCAGCGUCGUCGUCCUCGCUGCUGCUGCUUGCUGCUGCAUUCUCCUAGCGGCCUCGGUAUCGCCGGCUUCGUCAGAGCCCGCGGUGUACAGCGUCGGCGACGGGAGGGGGUGGACGGUGCCGGCCGGCAACGGCACCGAGACGUACAACCACUGGGCCAAGAAGAACCGCUUCCAAGUCGGCGACGUCCUGGAUUUCAAGUACGCGGCCAAGGACUCGGUGCUGCUGGUGAACCACGACGACUACAAGAUGUGCAGCACGGUGACCCCCCUGACCCGGUUCGCGGACGGCGACACCAAGUUCAAGUUCGACCGGACGGGCUUCUUCUUCUUCGUCAGCGGCGUGCCGGGACACUGCGAGGCGGGCCAGCGGAUGAUCGCCAGCGUCAUCGGGCACUCCACGCUGGCCGCCGCUCCGGCCAAACCGCCCUCCGUCGGCGUCGUCGGCGGCCACGCGCCCGGCCCCAGCCCCAGCCCCAGCCGGGCAGUCUCGGCCCCGGAGUCCCCGUCGUACGGGUCCAGUUCUGGCGGAUCCACCUCGACGACCGGUUUCGGACCCAGCCCGUCGACCGAGCCCAGUGGCGCGUCCAGGCGGGCGCUCUCCACUGUCGUUGGGCUUGUCGCCGGUGUCGUCGCCAUGAUCGCGUUGGCGUGA